Molecule: long non-coding RNA, 962 nt
Organism: Cryptotermes secundus
Lineage: Eukaryota; Metazoa; Arthropoda; Insecta; Blattodea; Kalotermitidae
Exons: 3
Source: RefSeq, a predicted model, not a curated record
AUUGUAUCAAAUUAUCGCUGUGAUGCAAGUAACAUUACGGUCCGAUUGGGGGUGUUUAUCUUUUCUUGUAGCAGGAACAGUCUUGAAGGUGCAACUUCUUCUUGUGCUUGUAGGCUGUUGGUCUGAUACGUGGUCACAUUUUUUUCUAUAAAUGUUACUUCUGUGACAUGUUUCAACUUGAUAAGGUCAUCACCAGCUCUGGUCUUAUAAUAGUCUGCAGGUACCACCUUCACGAGUGCACUGAACUUGAACUUGUGAGUUACACAAGCCAAGGCAUGGCUGUUUUAUACAGCAAAUGGCUUCGGAGGACGGGGUGAAGCGCGGAGAGGGGAAGUGAUGUACGAGAGGACACAGCCACAUCACCCUGCAGAUAAUGAGAAGAUGGACACGGCCUCCGUGUUUCGGUGGUUCAUAUGAAGUUCGUGAGAAAAUUUCCACGUCAGGUUACUGACUGCAUUACCAUGUAGGUGGGCAAGGUCAUGGAAACAAAAUAAAACAUUUAAAUUACACUCGAAUGUGCUUAUAAAAAAUCUGAAUACAGAAAUUCUCGAUCCGAUCAUAGUUUUGUAUACUGAAUUUUAAAUAAAAGAACACAUUUUUUACUUGUGCACUUAAGGUGAUAAUUUUCUUUUGCAGGGAUGUUGGUGUAUUUGAAGGCAAACUCGUCUUUCUUAGUCAUGUUUUAUAAUGCUUCUUUCUUCAUAUUAAAUAUUUUUCCUACGUAAUAUUAAUGUAUAUAUACUCAUUUUCUUUCUAGCUGUAUAAGGUUGGCUAGAUUGAAAGUGUGGAAUUUUUUACUAUAGACUGGUUUCUCUUUCUGUAUACAUGCUUGCUCUUGUCUAUCUUUCCUCGUGCUUAUUUCACAACUGGUCUUUGGUUGCUUUUUAAGCACUUAAAUAAAUAAAUAAUUGGGCUGAAUUGAUAUUAUUAGGCACUGAUAUAUUUAAAAUUUAAAUUGUUUC